UACUUUAUAGUAUAAUUUUAUACUUGCAAAGUAAAGGAUCUUUUUUAUCUGAAUUUU
This 57-nucleotide transfer RNA is filed under the name Cryptorhynchinae sp. KM-2015. Its description in RNAcentral is "tRNA-Lys". The record is from RNAcentral. Lineage: Eukaryota; Metazoa; Arthropoda; Insecta; Coleoptera; Curculionidae.